RNAcentral lists this ribosomal RNA (468 nucleotides) under uncultured bacterium. Its description in RNAcentral is "partial 16S ribosomal RNA". It matches the Rfam family "Bacterial small subunit ribosomal RNA", at positions 28 to 507 of the family's 1533-position model. The record is from RNAcentral.
GACGAACGCUGGCGGCGUGCUUAACACAUGCAAGUCGAACGAAAAGGCCCUGCUUUUGUGGGGUGCUCGAGUGGCGAACGGGUGAGUAACACGUGAGUAACAUGCCCUUGACUUUGGGAUAACUUCAGGAAACUGGGGCUAAUACCGGAUAGGAGCUCCUGCUGCAUGGUGGUGGUUGGAAAGUUUCGGCGGUUGGGGAUGGACUCGCGGCUUAUCAGCUUGUUGGGGGGGUAGUGGCUUACCAAGGCUUUGACGGGUAGCCGGCCUGAGAGGGUGACCGGCCACAUUGGGACUGAGAUACGGCCCAGACUCCUACGGGCGGCAGCAGUGGAGAAUAUUGCACAAUGGGCGGAAGCCUGAUGCAGCAACGCCGCGUGCGGGAUGACGGCCUUCGGGUUGUAAACCGCUUUCGCCUGUGACGAAGCGUGAGUGACGGUAAUGGGUAAAGAAGCACCGGCUAACUACGUG